ACGGUCGACUUUUAAGGUAGAUGUUCUCUAUGCUAGUUGAGAUACAAUUAUAUAUGAUAGUUAUACAAUUUCAAAUAUUAUAAAUUUUGUCAAGUUGAAACAAGUACCCUUUCAAAACCAUUUGUUUAGUUUUGAUCUCUUUCGUGGUUUUGCUAUUUAUCCGAUGUAAAAAUAAGCAUUCUUUUAAGUUCUUAAUUAUUUCUCAUAAGCAUUUUUUUUUUUUUUUUGUAAUGAUCCUUGAGGGUUCGAGCUUGUGUCCCUUAUUUCAUUCUAUCUAUAAAACGAAGAUAAAAUUUGUCAAAUUUAAUGUACAUGAAUAUAAGGGUUCAAAUAUCUAACCCUCUAAUCUGAAAACAAAAAUCAUACACCUAUUAUUAACUUCAAGGUAGAGUAAGAUAACAAAUUUUGUAAAGACCUUUAUUUCUUGACGUGAGUUGAAAGAUAAUAAAUAAAAAAAUUGCAUCAAAUGAUGAAAACGUUUUUAAAUGCGCUACUUUUGUAAAUUAGAAGUUACAAAAAUACUAUUUUGGAAGGUGUCCAUAUAAAUAUUAUGAAAAGAGUGUAUAUUUGAAUAAUUAGAAAAGAUGAUGGUCAGAAAAAUAGAACAUAAAAUCUAACGGACCAAAGAGCACAUUAUGGGCACAAUUCUGGCCUUCUUCUUGUUUUCAAGUUCUAGGUGAGCACAAUACAUGUACGAUUUCAUCGAUGAGGUAUGCAAUUUUAUUUGAAUCCCCAAUUUUUCUUUCAAAACCUACUUUUUCCAGAAUCCCAUUUGGUCCCUUCAAUCAUUUCUGUCAAAAAAGAUGGAGAAAGCCAAUAGUGAACGCUCAAACUCGGUUAGAAGACAGAACAAGGGACCUCAAGCUCGACAAACUCGCAACCCAGCUCAAAAAAUUUAGGGUCAUCCUCAAACUCUACGAGCUCAUGAACAAUCGGAAACGCGGCCCUUUCGUCUCCUUACAAAUCAUGUCUCGUUGGAGAAACAUUGUUGGUGUCAGAAUCGGAAUUGGGGAGUUUCUUCAUAAGUACCCCCAUUUGUUCGACUUAUUUCCUCAUCCGGUAAGGAGGAAUUUAUGCUGUAGAAUCACUGGAAAGAUGACUGCCUUGAUGAAACAAGAGGAGAAUGUUAUUAACGAUAUGGAAAUCGAGACUGUACAGCGAUUGAAGAAGUUGCUAAUGAUGUCUGUGAAUGGGACUCUCCAUGUUCAUGCUUUGAGACUAAUCAGCAGGGAAUUGGGGUUGCCUGAUGGGUUUAGAGAAUCGAUUCUUGAGAAGUAUUCUGAUGAUUUUAGAUUGGUUGAUUUGGAGAUUGUUGAAUUGGUUGAGAAACAUAAGAAUGGAGCUAUUGCUGAGGUUGAAAAAUGGAGGGAGAGAGAGUUUAGAGAGAAAUGGCUGAGCGAAUUCGAUGUCAAAUAUGCAUUUCCUAUCAAUUUCCCAACUGGGUUUAUAAUAGAAGGUGGUUUUAGAGAGAAACUGAGGAAUUGGCAGAGGCUUCCAUAUACACAGCCAUAUGAGAAGAGACAAGGCUUUGGUCAUCGUUCUUCUGGGGGGGUUCAGCGCCAUGAGAAGCGAGCUGUGGCUGUACUUCAUGAGCUUUUGAGCUUGACUGUGGAAAAGCUGGUUGACGUGGAGCGACUUGUCCAUUUUAGGCGUGAUUUCGCCAUUGAAGUCAAUAUCCGCGAGCUUCUACUGAAGCACCCAGGAAUAUUCUACAUAUCAACCAAGGGGACCACCCAAAUUGUUUUCCUUAGAGAGGCUUAUGCUAAAGGGUGCUUGGUAGAGCCUAAUCCAAUAUACAUUGUUAGAAGGAAGAUGCAGGACCUUGUUUUGUUGGGUCGCCGACACACGAAGCAGUUGGAAUCAUCCAUGGAAAUCAAGGAGAAUGACAAUGCAACCGAAAAUGGAGACUGGCUAUCUAAAAGUGAAGGAAGUUGGGUCUUGCCAAUACUACAGGGCUUCGAUUGAGGGAUGUGGUUCAAAUAUAUCGUAAAAUUGAUGGUUUGUGCAUUGUUUAAGGGUGAGUGAAGAAGGAACUGUGUUCAUGGUAGAAGCAAAUUGUUUGUCUGAUGAUGUUUGAAUGAAUCCACCCACUCAAGGGGAACAAAGAAACCAGCCUUUAAGGUUAUUUCUUUAAACUUCCAUUAUUCUUUUUUUAAAAAAAAAAAAAAUCUAUUUGAGGCUCUUGAAAAUUUGAAAAUAUAAGCAAUUUCAAAACUAUGUGCUGUAAUUGACUGAAAGCUCAUUUCACCAUUUCAAGAAUCACACUAACUCACUUCGAAUCAUUACUUUGUUUGGUGAUAAAGAAAAUACUUUUUCCUUUGUUGUCAUAUUUUUAUCUAGCUUCCUUCAUACUUCGUUUGAUUAUGUAAAUUAAGUAGAAUGGCAUGAGGUUAUGAAAAUUUGAAACUCUUCUUUUCUCGAGUGAAUGGUAUAAAAGGACUCCAAUACUUAUACUGCAUCCGUUGCUGUCUGCAUUGACUUUAUUUUUACAAUUGAAGCUUCCAGCAUAUUGUUUAUUGUUGCGUUGAACAAUUGUAUUCACUUUAUAUGGAACCCCUUGAUAUAAAAUGAAUCCUCGAAAUGAAGAUGCGUUCUAUUUCUUUAUUCAUUGACUGUUGCUGGUUUGAUUGUUCUAAUGUUUGAGUUUUCAUUGCUGAACCGAUUUAAAUAUGCUCUGUUCUUGUUCUUUUGGCUUAACUAGUUAUGGCCAGAACUUCAGACAUGUUACUCACGUAGCCUUUGUUUCAUAUUUCUUGAUACCUUAAUUUGCUUGUGCUACUAUUUGGGAGCACUUUGCUAAAGUAUUUUUUUUUUUUAAAUGGUUAAAAGCACCCUUUUUUUAAGAAAAAAGCAUUCUUAAAACAUUCUCAAAUGGGGACCCUUUUAAGGUUUUCGUGAUGGAGAAUGGUUGUGUCUUUUGUCCAUGUUAGUUUUAUCUCUACUAACAUAAAUGGUAAAACCAACAGACAACACUGAAGUUCUUGCUGCUGCUUAAGAGCCGGGCUUUAACAACUAUUCUUGUAGGACUCGAGCUUGUAUGAAGCAGCAUACCCAUGGACAAAGCUGGCUGAUCUAAAAAGCAUAUGGAGGUAACCACUCUUCAAAACUGACACUGGUUUCAAAAAUAAAGCAAUCGGGAGACCACAAAUUCGAGACCCUUUUUUUCCUUUUCUUUCUCUGGAUUUGAAACCAAGCACCCAUUAGGAAAAAUAAAAGAAUAUACAAGAACCUACAAAAAAAGGACUCCAAUCCAAAAAAAAUCUAUUAACCUGUCCAUGAAGACACAUUAAACCUCACAGCCACCCAGACCUCCCCAAAAGACUUCUCCAUCCCUCUAAAACUUUUACUGUUCCUCUCAAGUCACACUCUAAAAGAUAGCACAUUGACAAGUCUACCAAAAAACCUCUUCCUUUUAUCUUGAUAGGAGGACAAUGAAUUCGACCCUUUUUAUUUCACCUUUAUUUGAAUGGUAGCAAGUCAUCUCUGGAUUACGAGCUGGAGUGAAGUUUGGAUGCAGAAAGCCAUGUCAAUGAAAAUGAAGUUUGGAUGCAGAAAGCCUAUUGAGGAAUGCAGGUGGACAAAAAGUCUUUUGACACUCCAAGAAAUUUGGUUAUUUUGUUUGAGACAAACGUGGGCAACUGAAUAGAAACAACCAGAAGGAAUAGUGUUGUAUGAUGAAAUGAUGAACUUGUUGAAAAAAGGACUACAAGUUUCUUGAGCCUGCUUCCCUCAAUCAAACCAUCACAUUGUCUUCAAUUCAAGGGAUUUACUAUGAGGAUCAAAGGAAAAGGACAUGCUUCUGUUUUCUUCACUUGCAUUAUGUUUGAUGCUCUUCAGAUUAUAAUAAAGAAGAGGUAUGUGCUGUUCAACUUUAACUGUAUAAGUUUCUUUCUAUGCUAUGGCUUAAUGGUGAAGGGAGCUUUUUAGUUAUAUCUGGUAUGUUUGGAAAUAUUGAUACAAGAAUCUCGUCUUCUUAAAUUUGGUGAUUUUCUAUCCUAUUCUGAUCUCUCCCAUAUGGCUGAAAAUCAAAUCUUUUGUCCUAUUUAUGGUUAGUUGGGAGCUUGAUAUAUGUGGCUUUAGAGGAAUAGAUGCAGAUAUGAGACACGAAUACAACAUGAACACAAUGACCCAUCAUUUUUUAUAAAACCUAGGACACGAAAAAGACACAUUUAUUAAACCCUAAAUUUUCAAAAAUAUAUAUUGUUUUUGUAUCGUAAGAAAAUUCAAAGUGAAUGAGUUGAUGCAUUUAUAUACUUAAAAAUUAGUUCGGUGUAAUUCACACUCAAAAUAUAUUUUAUUGUCAUAUAGGAGUCUUUUUAGUCUACUUAACAAGUGUUCAAUGCAUGUCUAACACAUUUGGCUCUAGAAAUCGUUAUUUGUCCAAUAAAUGGUGGAUAUGAACACACUAGCCAAACUACAAGUAAAAGAAUGUGUGCUUCUCAGUAUGUGAUUUAUACUCAAAGUUGAAAUUAGGGUGCUUUUGUAAAUUUGCAUUGUCUUAUAUGAGAAUGACGGGAUGUACAAUAUUCACUAGUUCAUAUUUGUAUUUAGUAGAUGAAAUCAAGCUUAAGAGUACUUUCGUAAAACCAAAAACUAGAAGAAGAAAGUUCAGGUGAUUAUCCGAUAAAAUUAGUCUUGGUUAACCUGAAAAAAACAAAAUCAAAAGAAGAGAGCAAGGAAUCAUGUCAUCGAUAAUGAUGGACUUGGGUAGGUUAUACAUAAUGGCUCUCUAAUCAAAAGAUAGAUCGUAAAGCUAUGGGUGGGAAAGUUCAUUCAUUCCCUACUGAAGUAAUGAAGUCUUAGAAUGAUAUUUGUUUGUUGUUUGUUUACAAACAAUUGGUUGAAAUCAGAAGCUCAUGGAUAUCUUUUAAUAGGAGAUGAUUGAAAAUCUAAAUAGGAAUCAAAUAUAUUAUUAUCAUAAUAUAUCAUUUCCAUAUUUCAAACUAACUAAAAUGCAUGCAUGGUAUAUUUCUCAACAUUUUCAAAAACACACUUAAAAAUCAGUCUCACUUACAUCAUGUUGUCGUGACUACCAUCGAUCAACUCUAGCUACUACCGUUGGCUGCCACCUACAUCCAAUUCAGCCAACUUUGAUGACCUCUACCUAGAAGUCAACUCAAUCACCGUUGUUUUAAAUUAUUAGUUUAUAUAAUCAUCUUUUAUAAAAAAUUGAAAUUACAGAAAAUACUUUUAGUAUCUAACAAAUUACACAAGUUUUAUUUGAAUAGGAAAGACAAGUUUUAUUUGAAUAGGAAAGAGUUGUCAAAUACAUGAGUGUUCUUAUUUAAAACUUUUUUUCUUUCAAAUCCAUUCAAAUAGAUUGCACAUUCCAUGUAAAUACAAAAAAUAGAAAGUGAUUUCAUUUGAAUUACUUUUUUUAAUACGCAUAUGAAUCAUGCCUAUACUUAAAAAAAAAAAAAGAAUAAGAAUAGUAUGACAUAUGAAUCAUGCCUAUAUUUCAAAAAGAAGAAAAAAAAAGAAUAGUCUGACACAUGCUUUCUUUCCUAGAUUACUAAACUAUGUUCUCCAUCUUAUUUUAAAAUAUAUAAAAGGACAGAUUGAUAAAGUAUUUAGUGAGAAAUAAAUGAACUUAAAGCAUAUGAUAUCAAAUAUUUGACUUUAAUUUAACUUAACUCAUAAAAAGGGGGAAAAAGAAAUUCCAAUUUUCGAAUUUUGAGAAAAAAGAAAGGAAACGAACAAAAGGUAAACGAACAAUGGACAGUCUUACUAGUCAUCAGCUACAUCGGCUUCUGUGAAAAUUCUGCCUGAUUCUCGCCGGCGACAGCUGAAAUAAACAAUCACCAUUUUCCUCCGUUUUAUUAUCUUUAAAAACCUAGUGCUCAGCUCUGUUUUGCAAAACUUCCUCUCCUUCAGUUCUUUUAGCUUUCUCAUCGUCCACGACGGCGAUGGUUCCCUGUGGCCUCACUCUUUCUCUGAAACCUCCUACCCUCUGUACUCGUAUCAGUUUUAAUGGAGGACCCACUUCAGCUUUCGCCCUCCAAGCUCCAAUUCUUGGAACCCUAGUUCAAAUGAAGGGGACUCGUGUUUGUUCUUUUCGCCAUAACCAUCGAUUGGAGUUUAACGAUGUGGGUCGGCGUCAAAGGCAAUGUGGGCCGCUGAGGUUUACGGAUUUUCGGAUUUCAGCAUCCUCUGGUGAUGGCUCUGGCGAUGGGUUUGGGUCUGGAGCUGGCGAUGGUGGAUAUGGAGGUUAUGGUCAUGAAAAUUCUGGAGGCGGUGAAGGGGAUAGUGGCAAAGGCGGGAAUAACUGGUCCUUCUUGUCUUGGUAAUGUAUCUCAGUAUAAUCUAUCUCUUUUUCGUUUGUUAAUUUAAAUAUCCUAAUCUUCGCAUGUAUUUAAGCCUUUAAAUUAGUUAGCGAAGAUGUUUCUAACACUUGCUCAACUGAUAUUUCGGAUUGGCAAUUGUAAUUCACGUAUGUUCCCUUAACAAAUGGAUAAACUUAAGAAGAGAUAAACAAAGGUUGGAUUGUGGGUGAGUGAGGAAAUGUUAAGGAUAUUACAAGCUUGUUCGUAAGUUUAUUUGAGUUUGGUUACAAAUAGAGCAAACGGGAGAGAUUGCCAUUCAAAGGGUUGUAUUCUUCAUUUUCUCUCAAUGAAAUUUGUCUUUUAUCAAAAGAAAAUCUAGUUUAAGUUCCUUCUAUCAUCUAUACUUUCCAAUUCUACCCUAAUAAAUUAGAUAUUUAUACUGUUCCAAUCAGUGCAUUAACGUCCUUCUUGGCGACAGGGUUUCAAAGUGCAGGAAUCUGCAUUUCUUUUCUUAAUAUAAAUCACCUUAUCUAGCCUUCAAUCAUCGAUACAUAACCCGGUGAUGUUUGGUCUUUGGUGAGGUUUCUUGUUUCUAUGUGGGCUUUGGUUUCAUUUUUAUUUUUUUGUAAUUAUUCCUUAGGUGACAUUUUACGUAGUGCGAUCUUUUGUGGGGUCAAUUUUUUGUAUGUCCUUUUAUUCUUUUAUUCUUAUUCUUUUAUUCUUAUUCUUUCUCAGCUAUAGCUGUUUUUUCUGUUGAAAAAAAAUUCAUACAUACUUGCCGAUACUAAAUACUACCCUAAUAGGUAUUUCAUACCAAUCCCUAUCAGGGCACAAUUGUCACCAAUUCCUAGUCAUAGUCAUAGAUAGACUUCUGUGGAUGAGUCGUGAUUGGAAUAUAUUAUGGGAGACUGGUUUUGCAUGAGCCAUGAGGACAACCUCCAAUCGUAAUUGAAUGCAUUUGUUUGCACUCCAUGGUAAAUUCUUUGCCAAAGUUGGACAAAGCCAAAAUUGAAAUUAUACUCAUUUUUGGAAUGACUUCAGAAAAGAUGGUAGUUGAAUGAAGUUUAUCUACCUUCAUCAAUGACAAGGAUGGGAAACUUAAUUGGCAUAGUCUUUCAAUUUACUCCAAAUAAUUGCCUUCUGUUUUUUUCUUCAGUUGGGUUUGGGAAUGGAAUUUUUUUUGGCUGGUGAGGAAUUCUCAUUUGAGAUACGGUUAGGGUUAGAUAUUGGAAAGAUCUCUCAGUUACCAUGAGAUGGGCAAAAAUGCACUCAGCUUCUUUUUUUUGUAUGCGCUUUUUUUAAAUGGAAACAAACUUUUCAUUGAUUUAAUGAAAAGAGAUUGUUGCUCAAAUUACAAGGAGACAUAGUGGUCAUAGAAUUCAUUUGGAAGCUUGUGUGUGUGUCGUUGUGAUUAUAUAUUUAUUACUAUUUAUCUAAUUAUUUUUCAUUUUAAGUAGUACAAAUAAACAAAAAACGAGAAUAUUUUCCCGCAAAAAUCAAACUUCCAAAUGGAGAUUUCUGGACCUUGACCCAAUUCCCCAAAUCAAACAAUGAAGUGGGUCAGAGAUAAAAUAUUUCAGCAUGAUUAGAGGUGGAGAUUGGAUAUCUUAUCCCACCCCAUCUUUCUCCAACACCAUUGCAUUGUCAUGUGUUCACUGUGAAGGCAGAUUGAAAUGCUCAGAAUAGUCCUUUCAGAGUUGAUUGCCGGCCUCCCUAAUUGCAGGAUGAACAAAAUAGUCAUGCUUUACUCUAAGGAUUAUUGGAUGGUUAUGCUAUACUCUAGAUUUCAUCCUUUCCUCUUGCAUAUGAUUGGCAUCAUGGCCCAUCAGAUGAUGGAUGGAUGAUAAGUAUGAGUCUGCUUCAUAAGAGUGAGGUGAUCAGACUUGGAAAUUUUAGAAUACUGCUUUCAGAACACAUUUUCAAGACCAUAAUUUUCCUGUAAAAAAACCAUAUUUUAUCACUAGUGCAAUUAUUCCAAGGACAAAACAUAUCCUGUUUGUUUACUUGUGCUGUGUUUUAACAUUUGUCACUUGUAAUUUUGAGUGUCCUAGUUGCUUUCUAUUUGAUUUUCAGCAGAAUGUCAGUCUGUGAGGUAAUGGUACCUAGUAAGUUGGAAAUUGAUUCAAAAUCUCGUCUUUUCUGAGUUUCCUCUUAGCUUCUAUUUACAAGAUUUAUUUGGAAACAAGUUUUCAACUCCUCAUCUGGUUUUCUUUUUUUUUUUUAUUGUCAAUUUUGUUUGAAGGGGUAAAAACUUAAUUUUUAUUAUUUCAGGUAUUUGACUCUUCUUGCAAAAUAUCCUGCUUUGGUGAAAUCUGUAACAUCUGGGAUACUAAAUGCUCUGGGAGAUUUAAUUUGCCAGGUUUGCCUCCUAAAAUAUUUCUCUUGGAAUCUGUGGACUUUCUAAGUAAUUUUCAAUGUUGGCUUUGUUGAAGAUUUUGUUUAAUUAUUUUCGGAAGUGGUGAUAGACUGAUAGUCAUGAGUUUUUGAGACUCAUGUAGCUUGAUAAAGACGUGUACUCUGAAUUUCACAGCAAAUUAAUGACGGCACUUUCAAAAAUUGUUCAUAAUGAAUAAAAUUCGAGAUGGUGUUAUUAGUUUAAAAUUUGGAUGUGGGAGUAUUAGUUGGAAUACCUGUAAAAUUAUUUUUGCAAACCCACAUUACAAGACGUUGAUUCAAUUAUAUUAAUGGUUGGUUUAAUUACAAGUUAAGUUUUUGAACUUUUAGGUUGUGUCUAAUAGGUCUCCGCCUUCAAAAAAAUGUUUUGUAAAAUAGGUUGUUUAAUUUUCACUUUUGUGUCUAAUAGGUAGUUGAUCUUUAAAAGAUGUAUGGUUAAUAGGUCUUCAAUUUUGUGUAGAAACGCUUUAUAGUCCAGCCAGAUAAACAAAAACUAGAAAGUUCAAACUUCAAGGACUAAAUUUGUUGUUUAACCUAAAUUGUAUUUUCUGCUAACUUACUCUAAUAAAAAAAAAAAAAAGUUCUGUACACUGCCUUGUGCUUCAGCUGCUUAAUAAUUUGUUUCUAUUGUAAUAACUAUUGAACUAAAUGCUUAACAUCUUCACCUAGAUUGUUUUUGAAGAAGCACCAUCAGCAGACCUGAGAAGAACGUUCAGAUUUUCUCUUUUGGGGCUUGUGUUAGUCGGUCCCGCAUUGCAUUUUUGGUAUUCCUUCAAGACCCUUCUUACUUCUCUUACUUCUCUUACAAAUUCAGAGCUAUUUGAUACGUGAUUAGGAAUGAAGACUCAUUUGAAGUUACCUGUUAAAAUCCUGAAGAUGUUACACUAUCUUUUAAAAAAGUCAAAUUGUUGGUUCAACUCUCUUAAGGGUUAAAGCCCAUUUUUAUGUAGGCCAUUGAAUCAUUCAUUCAUGUAAAUGUGAAAUAAACCAAUCUUGUGUUGCUUUGAAUGGAUAAUGCUCAUAGACAUGCCAUACAUCAAUCUGAAACUCAAGAUGAACUGUAAUUUGUAAUCCUUUUUCGAACCAUUUUCAGUUUCUUGAAUCCUUCUAAAGUAAUGUAUGUAAUCGUAUAGGUACUUGUAUCUUAGUCAGUUGGUGACCUUGCCAGGGGCCUCAGGUGCAUUCGUCCGUCUACUUCUCGAUCAGGUAAUUCAUUUCAUUACAAGAGCGAUUACAUGUUCUUAAAAAGUAGUUUAACCUGAAGUACUGUAUCUAAAUGUAAUGUUAACAAUUGCAGUUCAUUUUUACUCCGGUAUUCAUUGGAGUCUUUCUAAGUGGAUUAUUAACACUAGAAGGGCGGCCAUCAGAUAUUAUUCCUAAGCUUCAGCAGGUGCCAUUCAAAACAUUUUCUGCUCCAACAAGAGAACAACUUUUAAUUUAAUGGGCUUUUCAGCCUUAUACUUCAUAGUUCUCUUAUCUUAUUUAUUUUUUUGAUAACUUUUCUUUUUGCCUUUUAGGAGUGGUUUUCUUCUGUUGUUGCUAAUUGGAAACUCUGGAUACCUUUCCAGUUUCUCAAUUUCAGAUUUGUUCCGCAGCAAUUCCAGGUAUGCCUUAUUCCAAUUGUAGCUUCUCUACCAUUUGAUUGAGUUAAUAUUUCAAGUAGUAAUAUAUGUUCUUGUUUAUUAAAACCACUGCAUAAAUGCAUAAAUGCACUGAUGCUAUUUUCUCUAUCUAAAUCAGAAUACACUGCCUUUGUUAAUUUAAUCAUCAUGAACCAAACUAUAGUCAAAGUAGUAAAGUGUAAACAGACAUAUCAUCAAGGUUUUAGAUUCAAAAUAUGGUGGUCUCUUCCUGCUCCUUUUCGGUAUAAGAGUCAGUUUCUUUUGCAUGCUAGUUUUGCAAUUUUUACGGAGUCUUUGGUUUGGUAGAAACAAUAGGAAUUGUAGGGGAAUGAGAAUUCAAGAGGAGGUCGUUUGGUCUUUCACUAGAUUCCAUGUCUCCCUUUGAGUUUUGUUGCAUAAGGAUUUUUACAAUUAUCCUCUAGUCUUAUUUUACUAUAUUAGCUUCCAGUUAUAGGUUGGCUCCUUUUCGUGGGCCCUCUUUCUCUCUCUUCUUUUGAAAAAGGUAAAAAAGUUCUUUAAGGAUCCUGUGGAUGCUAAGUGUUUUAUGAGAUCUCCAAGGAUUCGUCCCUAUGCUAGUCUAAGACUCCACUUAGUUCAAUGGAUUUAUCUUUAGAGUGGAUUUGGCCAUGCUUAUCAUUUUUAACCAUGACUUCCUGCUUCCUCCCUACAAUGUUUUAUUCAGUGUUUUAUUGUACAAACAGUGUUAAAAUCUCAGUAAAACGAUAAAGGAAAAGGUGAAGUAGUAGAGAGAUCAACUUGACAUUCACUGGCUGGGAUUUAUAGAUACACAGUAAAACUGGAUUUCCCAAGAUUUUGCAUAAAUGAUCCCAACAUUUUAAAAUGGGAAACCCUGAUGAGAACCAUCAUUAAAUUUUAUGUUAAUGUACAUGAUAGUCUCUAGACAUUCUGAAAAUCAAAAGAUAAAUGGCGUAACUAUUACAUACAAAUUCUGUAUGACAUAAUUAGUAUCGAAUUAUAUGGUAUGGUGUCUAAAGCUUCGUAUAUGCAAAAUGACUUCAGGUCCUUGCAGCUAAUAUCCUUGCCUUGGCAUGGAAUGUCAUCCUCUCCUUUAAAGCUCACAAAGAGAUCAUUACCCGAUAGGUAAAAAUCUUCACUUGUUAUGGGAUUGGAUCUAUGAUUUUGUAUUACACUCAACAAACAUUUUGGUCAAUCUUGAAUUAAUAAUUGAUCAUUUCUUGCAGAUUAUGUUAUCAGAGGUAGUUCAAAUAACAAUUUUGAUGAAAUAUUAGUUCUUAGUCUCAGCCUCUAAAAAUAUUAUUUAGUUUUGGAACAAAAAUGUGACACAGGCGUGCGAGAUCUAGAUCGAAUGUCAAUUAUUUUGUUUGGUGCCUUGUCUUGAAGUGCUACAUAAAAACAAGGGUAAAAUGGAACAUUAAAGAUACCGAUUUAUCUUCUUUGUUCAAACUUCUCACUUGAAGCUUUUUCUCAUUUACAAAUAUGGAGGAGUCAUUGAGAUGAAACUAAAGACGAAGAUGUACAAGGAUAAGGAUAUGGAUUUUGCGUUUUCAUUUCUAGUAUUUUCUUUUGAUUUAAUACUUCACUUUUAUGAUUUUGUGAACUCUGUAGGAAAUGGGAGCCUUUAAUGUUAGUCCACUUUAUCUCAACUCAUUUUUCAUUCUCUUUCAAUAUUGUGUAUGUGUGUUCAUGUAUAUUAUUUGUAGUAUAUGUUUCAUCUUACUGAAGUUCUAUUUCUUUUCCUGUACCACAUAUCUUCGUGUGACAGUAGUGUUAUGCUCGCUUAAACUACAGCAGUGUUUGUUGCCAACAAAGUUAUGGUCAUGGGAGGGAAAUUAAUGUACAAAUUUUAUUUUAGUUCAAUAAGCUUGAGGAUUAAAGCAAACUAAAAGUAAUUGGUAUCCAAGUCAAUGGAAUUGAACUAAGACAUUCUUGCAAGAUUCCUGGUCAAUAUUGUAUGACGAUGCAACUAUAUGAUAAUUAGCUAUAAUUGAAUUGCUUUAGCCUAGCUUAGCUUCAUUCAACAUCAAGGCAUUUGAAGACAGUAUUUAGUGUAUAUUGAUCUUCAACAAGGCUCUUCAAGACGUUAAUUAGUAUACGCAUGAUGGGUUUGAGAUAUGCACAAAUGGAAGGUGUCUCACUAUUUAAUUCUCUCAUAUGAAGUUCAAAGUCAACUGGAUUAUGAACUUUAAUGCAAGGAAUUCAUGUUGGACAUUUCUUUCUUUUUUGUGAUUCUCAUUGUUAUUAAUAGUCAAAUGAUAACAUCCAAAAGUCAAAAGAGACAUUAUGAGUGAACUUCUCAACAACUCAUUUAUGUCAUCUGUGACACAUCUUAGACUAAUAAAAAACUUCCAACGUGUCAUUUUCAAAUUCAAUUAUGAGUCUAUGAUCGUUGUAAUAUCAAACUUUUGAUUGAUACAAUUUAGAAUAAACAGUAAUGACAAAACAAUUGUACUUCAUUUUAAAAUUAUGUAGUUACUAUAGUAACUUGUUUUGAUUAGACUGUUGUUUUUUUCUAUAUAAUCGUACUUUUGUUAACGAAGUACAACUUUUUCAUUAAAAAAAAACUAUCACACAACUUAUCUAUCUCUCAACGUAUGUUCAUAAUAUCAAACGAGCAAUGAUUAAGUGCAGUCUAGACUACAUCUAAUUUCAUAAUUUCUUUUCUUUAAUAAGUAAAAAAAAUUCUAAAAAUUUACUUUUAAAUGGAGAAAAGGUGACACGUGACAUGACAUAAAAUAAUUAAGUGUUUAGUUAGGGGUGCACAAAAGAUAGUGCUCAUUGUUAGAUGUAGAUGAAUGAUGAAACAAAUUACCUCUUUUGGGACAAACAUUGAUGUUGCCUUUUCCCUUUGUGGUCCUUGAUUUGGAAAUAUAAGAGAUCCCAUUAUUUCAUGAAUAUACCAAUAUAUCAUAUAUUUGUUAUUAUUGAAAUAUACAUGAAUGAAUGAAUAGAUAUCUUAAUCAUUUUAUUGUUAUUUUACCAUCUAUAGUAAAAAACUUUCAUUCAUCCAUUACACCUUCCCCUUUUCCCAACACUUUAAAUUUAAGGAUGAUCAAACUCAAAUCUUAUAACUAUUUGAUAACUUAUUAAGGGAGAGUUUGGAAUAAGUAAGGACUAUAAUAACAUUAUUAUAAAAUCCUCAUUUACAACCGUAUUUUACGUACGCUCAUUAUUCUUUUUAUUCCUUGCUACAAUAAUGUACUAUUUUACCUCUCAAAUACACGCUAUCAUAACACAAACAAAACUAAUCUCCACCUCAAACAAAAAUCAUUAUAACUAAACUAUAAUUAUAACAUUAGACUAUAUUAGCUAAUUCUUUGACUCCAAAUAGUAAAAACUAAAUUAAAUUACAAAUUUAAUCCUACAACUUUGAAUUUAUAGGUUCACCAUCUUUCAAGCUUAGCCCUACAUGUCGAAGAAGAGUUCAAAGCAAAUAAUAGGAGAGUUAAUUGUGCCUCACUGACUAAUUGGCUUGCACAAUCUCAAGCUAGCAUUGAGGUCGAGGCUAAGCUCUCCCUUUUUGGAAGUCCAUCCUCCAUAAAUCACCAAACUUGCUCAAGUGUCUUAAUGUAAGCAUUGUAGUAUGACUAUUCUAACUAUUUUGCAAACAGUGUUUUCUCCUAACUUAAAAGUUUACCGUCGAUCAUUCACCAAGAUCAAAUGUUUUCUCAACUAGAUUUUGUCACCCCACUAUCAAACACACAAAUUUUUUAUAAAUUAAUAAUAUUUCAAAGUUAAAAAGGAAGUAUAUUAAAAUUAUAAAAUAAAUGGAAAGUCGACUUUUCACACACAAUACUUUACAGUAAGAAAUAUUUUUAAGAGAAGAACAAUCGAAAAAGAAUUUCCCUUUUUCUUAAUAAAAUCGAAAAGUAAAUUCUCAUAUAUUAUAUAUAUGACGUAAGGAAAACGCAAGUGUGAUGUCAUGGAGAACAAAAAUUACAAAUAGUCUCCUUCAAGGGUGAUGAGGUGACAGCUCGACAAGGACAGACAAAAAUACACUCGACACGUCAUCUUUCAAAGUGGGCCCAGUUAGCGAAUGAAAUAGAAAAUCUAUACAAAAUUGUAUUGACCGUUGAUUAGGACGAAACGAAGGAUUUCAAAUCUCUCUCUGUCUUAGGUAAGCAGUGACGAUGGGGGUGCAGGAGGGUAAAGCAUGAGGAUGAGGGCAGAGGAUAAGGUAUGAAAACACGUGGCGCAAAAAGAGUAGGCGGUGAGAAAGAAAAGUUGAAAGUCGUGGGUAAGGGUAACCGUCGAGGUCCUAAUCCGUCAAAAAGAAGAAAGGGGUGAGACUGUACAAUCAAGUACACCCUCCGCUAUUUUUGACCCUUUUUUUUUAUUGUUUUCUUUUCACUUUACGUAAAUACCCCUGUGUUCUUGCCAUCAUUUCUUUCCUUUCUUUUUUCUCUUCUUAAUUAUCUCUAUUUAAAUCUUUCAUUUUCCUAAUUGCAUCAAUUAAUUUCUUUUCUUACAUGUAUCUACAUCUCUUCCAAUAGACUACAUUAAUUAGACUUUAUACUUAAAAUUCUAAUCGUUUUAAUUCGAAAAUAGUCUGGUUCAAAUUAAGUUUAUCAAAAUUAAAAUUUUAUUGGAAAAAGAGAAAACAAUAAGUUAAAAAUUUACCAUAUAUAUAUAUAUCAAAACCUUAAACAUAACACUACAGAGUUUAAAGCUUUAUGAAUGUUUGGGGUCUAAACUAAUAAUUUACCAAAAAAACAAUUCAUAAUUUAGUAACUUUCUAUGAUAAAAUUGAAACAUAUUUUAGAGGUAUUUUGAAUUAUAGAGACACGUAAGUGAAAAUAUUUUCAAAUUUUACAAAUAUCUUAAUUAGUACUUUAAACAAUAUCUUUUACACAUUAAGAUUUUAAUAAAUAAUGCAAUUGGGACCAUCGAGUUUAAAAGAAAAGUAAUACAAUAUUAAAUGGUUUCUUUUUUGUUUUGUUAUUUUUAUAAUUAUUAUAGAAAAUCGUUUCGUUUUAUUUUAUCUUAUUGUCUAUAAGGUUUCAAACAAUAUUAAUUAGUUUAUUAUUGUCUCGUUUUCGUUAUAACUUAAAUAAGGUAAAUAAUGCUUCUUAAAUAAAUUUUUUUAUUAAUUCAGUUCUUAUUAUAUAUUUAUAGUUUUAAUUUGUCACCUAGAAGAAUUAUCUAAUAUUUGUCUUAAAAUUUGUUGGUAAAAUUUUCGUUUUAUAAUAUUAAUUUAACGUUAAACUUUAUAAAGCAUUUUAACUUAUAUCACUUAUAUUAUUAUACUCAACUUUAGUCUUAAAAAAUUAUGAUGCUAUUUGAUAACUUAGAUAUAUAUAUGUCUCUUUUCAAUUCUUAAGCUUGACUACAACUUUUUAAAAUUUUAAAUUAACAAAUUGGUACAUUUAUAAAAAAAAAUAUUGAGUUUAAAUUAAUAUAAAUAUAUUUCAAAUUAUAGAGAGUUGAAACUUUCCAAAUUUUGUGACAUAAAUUGAUUGUUUUUCUUUCUUUCAACUUUUAUAAUGGAAAUUGGCAAAAAAAAAAUUCAUAAAUUUUCAUAAAUAAGCUUUUAAGAGAACAUAUUGUUGGGAGAUAUUUUAAAAAAUAAGAAAAUUUAAUUGAAACUCUAAAAAGAACAACUAAAUAUAAUGUCAUAGCACAUAGAUCCUUAAUAAUUUUAUAAAAAUCUCAUUAUAAGUUUUCAAAUUUUAUUUUUCUUAUACGUCUUAAACUUAAUCAUAUCAAACUUUUAUUUUUCAUCUAAUAAAUUUCUAACAUUUUUUUGGUUAAAAUUUGAACUAUCUAUUGGUCAUAACAUUUACUUUUAUUAGGCACUUUUAAAGAUUUUCAUUGACUUAUUUCAAUCCAUUUUAAAAUAAUAAUUUUAUUUAACAAAAAUUUAAAAUUUUAGAAAUGAAAUGUACAAUUUAGCCUUAGAUAUAUAUAUAUAGUAUGUGUGUUGGUGGAUGAUGAAAUAAUUAAAGAGAGGCAGGGAUUUAAAAAUGAGAUAUAAAACAAAAGAAAUGGGUGGGGUAGAUGAAAUUACACUCAUGUGUGUGAUGCCAACCAACAAAAAACCUUACUCUUAUGAUUUGAAGUCACUAAUGAAGCCAAGUUUUGACAUAGUAACAGUAACCACUCUAUUUCUAUUUUCAUUCACCAUAAUUUCCCAUUUAUUUUUUAGAAAAAUCGUAAACGAGUGAAAUGGGAUUGGAGAAUAUAUUCAAUUCCCUAGUUAAAUUGAUAUUGUUAAUCAUGGGAAUAUUAUUAGAAGAUCAAUCUAGUUCUUGUAUUAAUUUCACAUCAAUUUACCUUUAUUUUUGUUUCGGGUUAAAAUAUUUGGAAGGUGAUUGCCAUGUAUGUCGAUAACACAAAGGUAUCGUAUACAUACAUACAUAAUGAAAAUCCGAUUAAUUGAGUUGUAAAGUAAGAGAUAAGGAUAUAAUAUUCCUUUGCUUUUUCUUUUUUUUUUGGUGUAAGAGUGUGUAUUUUAGAAAGAAUCUUACUCUAAUUGGUUUGGAUUGCAAUCCAUUGAAGACUUGAAUUUAGAUUUUUAAAUUUAAUGUAUAAAAAUAAAAUGAAGAUGAAAGGAAGAAGCAAAGAAAAAAAGGAAAAUAAUCAAAAGCAUCAAUCAAUGCGGUGCGUUUUAGGCCCCACGGAAAGCGAUAGACAGCAACACCACCGUUUACUUGGUCAGUCUUCCUUCCAUUCCUUUUCUUCUUUUUUUUAAAAAAUAAAUACUAAUUAUAUUCAAAUGGAGUUUUUUUUUUUUUCGGUAUCCAUCGUUAAUCACAAAUCUUUGGUUCACUCACAUUUUAGUAUGUCAAUUGGAUUAGAAAAAGUAAGGAAAAUGGCAUGUUACCUAUACGUUAUUACAUCUGUCGUCUCUGUCACAGAAAUAUUCCGUCUAAAAAUAGAUUUUUAUAAUAUAAAGUAUAUAAUAAUGAAUUUUGUUAUUAUUUAAUUAAUUGAUUUGAUUUUCUAUGGUAUGGCUGUCCCUUUGCAAACGGUUUGACAUUGACCUUCAACAUGACGCUGCCCAAUGGACCCUUGGUAUGUGUGAUCUCCCAACACACACACAUAUAUCUUUUUACUUUCCUAUUCAUUUCCAUUUAUGUCCCUUUUCUUUCUUUUUAUUUUAAAUUCUUCUCUUCCAAGUUGGGAGCCUUAUAUUUGUAUAUUUCUUAUGUAAAAGAGUUGAAUUAUGUCUAAUUACUAAUAAAAGCUGCAAAACUCGACUUGGUUUAGUAAAAUUUAUAUCUUAAAUUAUCUAAAUAAAAAUAUAAUUGAACCUAAAACAGUACAAUAAAUUAUUGCAUACAUCAAGCAAAAAUGAGUGUUGAAAAGGAAAACACCCAAAAAAUAGACUCGUAAAAGGUUUUCCGUUUUUCCUUUUUCUUAAAUUUAAAAUUGAAAUGGACUAACUUAAAAUCUUGCUAUCCCUAAAAUAUUUAUUAGAAUCUACAUUUUAAAAUAAGGCUUUCAUAAUUCUAUUUUGACCACAAAAAUUUAAAUAUUAAAGAUUAUUUUGGUUUUUAGCAUGAAAUUUGAUAUUGACCCAAUAUUUAUUUUUUUGAAAAAUGAGAGAGAAAAAAAAAUUAAAUGGUUGAGAAUAAUAAUAAUAAAAAUAGGUUGGGAAAAUCAAAAAGCAAAUAGUCAAAGGAUGAGAAGCAAGGCCAUGUGCCUUUGGAAAUGACCAAGGUUGCCCCUUGGACCUCUUCAAACCUUCAAAAACAACAAUUAUAUAAAUAUUUUGCAAUUUCUUUAUUUCUUUAUUUUUAUUUUCUUAAAUUAAUAAAUAAAUAAAGAAAAGAAGAAGUAAUUUGUAGACCAAAGUCAGCCUACACCAACUACCUAACACAUUAGCUACCAAUUUAUUUAAUUUAACUUUUUGACUUUCACUGAACUCAUUUGCACUUGCAAUUAAAUAAUUUAUUAACUCAAUAUCUAUAAUUUAUUCUAACAAAACUUUGUAAUUAGAUCAUUAAUUAAUUAUUACACAAUCUCAUACUACACGAUCUAGUCCUCUUAAAAAAAUCGUUAAUUAAAAUUUUAACUCAAGUUAUCUUUCACGUUUUGAGUCAACUAAAUAUCACGAGAUCAAAUUGUAUUAUACUUACGUUCGACUUGAAGAAUGAUAAUGUAUCGUUCUUAUCUUGAUGAAUUAUUUCUAUAUUAAUUUUUAUCAUCUAUCACAUGGAUUAGUAUUACUUAAAUAUAUGUAUUUUUAUAUUGUAGUAAAAUUAUUUAACAUGUUCCACUCCCAAAAGAAAUGAUAUAUAAUUAAAGAGGAAAAAUUAGAGAUAAUUAAUUUGAUCAAGUGGGGUGUUUUAUGAUAAUUAAUUGUUAAUUAAUUAAAAAGCCCACAAUAUUUUUGGAAAUAUAAAAAGGAAUAAUGGGAAAAUUCUUAAGAGAAUCUCUUUUUGCAUUGGUACGUGACAAAAAGCCAAUAGUUUUGGGAUAAGUUUUUGGCAACUUUUUGAAUUUGACUCAUCUAAUAUAUAUAUUAUAUCAAAUUAGUAUUCAUAUGGUAUUGUCUACAAAAAAUUAAUUAAUUAAUACUCAAAUUAUAGCUUUAAUCUCUUUUCAUCUCUCCACUUCUUCAACUUUAAUAUUAUUUGAUCCUUAUACAUCCUUCAAAUAUUUACUAACAAUUUCAUCAUUUUAAUUUUAGUAUAGUAAAUGCCCUUUUUUGUGAAGUUGGUGGUGGUGGAUGAGUCAAAUAAACCCAAUUUUUUUAGUAGUUUUGGUUUAUUGUUUUAAUUAAUAGUCAAAUACAUUGCUUCACUUAAUUUUGCAUUGCUAUAAAAUUAACUUUUAGUUUUGAUUUCUAAAAAUUAUACUUGUUUUCUCACCAUCACUUCACAUAUUUUCAAUCUUUCCUAAAAAAAAAAUAACAAGCAAUUCAAUUUGUAACAAUUUUUUCUUUUUUAAAAAAAGAACAAAUAUUGGCUAGAGUCUCAACCUUAGGAAGACAAAUCAUAGAUGUAGAGCAUAGCAAUUCACUAUUGAAUACGGUAAGUUUUUCUUACUCUAGUCCAUGUUCAAAAUCUAAUCUAGUGGUCAAUAAAAGGGUAGUUCAAUUCACAUCUAAUAUCACCUCCUACAACCUUGCUCUAUAUUGAUUUAAUUUGUUGAGGAAUUUACUAUUUUCUACUAAUACAAAAACGAAAUGCAUGUAAAGAAACAAUUAUAACUCAAAGACUAUAAAAUAAUAAACUUCCUCCAAUACUAUUGAAUUCUUAUUAAAAACCAACAUCUCAUCAUCCCAUGUUACAAUAAUAUAGCAUUGAGAUGAAGAACUAAGGAUCCAAACUUUAAAAUGGGAGAGUUUAAAAGUAUAUGAUUCCUUUAGAAAACACAAAUGAAAGAUGGAGAUUGAGAGAGAGGGAGUUGGCUUUUUAGGUUCCUCCAAAAAUUACGCUUUAAAGAUAAAAAAGGUUAAAAGAGACAACAUUUGAUUAGACGUUUUUGGAUACAUUCAUUUUUCUUCUUUUAUUUUUUCUCUAGAAGCAAAAAAGCCAAAUGUUUGCUUUUUCCCAUCCAUACUUUUUCAUCUUUCCACUCUUAAAUAUUCUUUAUUUUUGCAUUCAACAAAUCAAUUACUCAUCUAUAUAUGAUAUACAAAUAUGUGUGAUAUACCAUGUUAUAAAAUUUUACUAAAAAUUUCAAAAAUUAUCGGUCUACGACAUGGUGUCAAUUACAAAAUUAUACCCUUAAACAUGUUAAAAUUGGCUAAAUUUUACGAUUUAAUAAUAUAUAAUUAUGAUCCACCCGUCUAUGGUAAAAGGUGAUUUUUUACAAUUGUCUUCUUGUUUUUUUAUUUAAACAAGUAUUUUUGAAUUGCUUUUGUAAUUAUGUGGUUGGAAAUUGGAAUAGGCUAAAAAAAAGUUGAAGUGUUGCUUUUUAUUAUUAUUAAUGGCAUUGACUCAAGUAGUAGUUUUAAAAGAAUGGAUGAGUUGGAGGGGAGAUAGGUACAAAAACAUAUUUGUAAAAUUUGAUUAUUGUGCAAGAAAUUCAAAGAAGGUUAGAUUUUUAAAAAAAGAAUUUAUAUGAUUAUUAUUAUUAUAGAUGUUUAAUACCAUAAUUCAUGAACAUUCAUGAUGACAGUUGAUGAAAACAAGUAUAUAUAUAUAUUAAAAUUAUAGAAUUGGAAUUGCAUAUGCACUCUCUCGUGCUUUACUUUAUGAAGCAACUUUAUGAGAGAGAGAAAAAAACAUUAGUUUGAAAAUAGGAACCAAAACAGUGGAAAUUUCAAAAAGAUUAAUAAAGAGGGAAAAAAAGAAAUAUUACCUCACCAUGGUAUUAUCAAUCGUUUAGAUUUAUUUAUUUAUUUAUGUAUUUAUUUCCCUUAAAAAAGUUGUAUUAUAUAUAUAUAACUUCAAAAAGAUUUUUAUUUUUUAAUAAAAAGAAAUACAUGGACUAUAAUAUAAGAUUUAAUUACACAUGAAUUUGUAUACAAUAAAACUUAAAUUGGAAACAUUCGAGAAGAAUUCAAAAUAGAAGAGGUAUAUAUAAAAUAUAAUAAUGUUUUAAGUUAUACAAACUAACCCCAUUAGAGUGAAUUUAGUCAAAGGGCCAAAUUUUUUAACAUCACCCAAAGCAGCAUAUAUUAGCCAAAUUCGUGCAUACCAAUUACACUUAAAACCUCAUAUACAAUAUAUAGCAUAGUUUGCACAGUUACUAGCACAAUUUGUAUAUCAAGUGGUAUGUGAUCAAAUGUUACCGAGCUUUUGUCCAUUUUCGAGACAAAAAGGCAAAUGCGUUGUAAGAAUAACAAUGAGAACAAAAAUUUAGAAUUCCUUGGAAGGAAAAAAAAAAAGUAGGCAUUGAUAAUUUUACUAUUUUUAGCGUUACAUUACACCACUAAUUUCCAAAAAAGAAAAAAGAAAAAAAAACCUUAUGUCCAUCCCAUCAUCUUACUACCUCAAAAAAAAAAAAAAAAAACUAAAUAUUAAUUUCCAAAAAUAAAAUAAAAUCAAGAAAAAAAGGGAGAAAAUUAUCUAUCCAAUUCCACAAUCAGAUGACAGCCUUCCACGACUCAAGAGUAGGAAAAGACGAAAAUGUAUCAAAAUCCGACCCGAUUGGACCGUGAUUCGGUAACUCUAACUCCAACUCCGACCCAAACGAAACCGGACCCGGUUGAGUAAUUUCCGAUCCACUCCCGGAGCUCUGCUGCUGCUGCUGCUGCUGGUGGUGGGUGUUGUUAAGCAAAAACGCGGAUGUAUCAAGCGUCGGAAGUCCAUCACCGCCGCACACAGAGAAACGAGCACUGACCCUUUGCGGCUCGGGUUUAAGAAUUGGGGGAAUCUGGAUUUGGGAGUUACCAAACCUAACACCCGUGACUUGCUGUACCAUCUGCCGGAAGUUGGCCGGGUCGGCCGUAAUAAACGUUGUAUGAUUCUUGGAAGCUCUAGAUUUGCGCUUGGAGACCUUCCCGCCUGUAGGGGGAAUAGUAGACCUGUGUCGCUUGGAGGAGGGAGGAGGAGGGGGGGUGUCGAGCUCGGGAGCGGCACCAGCGGAGAUACCUGAAACGGUGGGAGUGGGGUCGUUGGAAUCGGGGGAGAUGAGGUCGAGGAAGGAGGAGUGGGGAGUAUCGGAGGAAGGGAGAAGGGAAGAUUGAAGAGCUCUGGUGAGAGAUUGAGUUUCGCGGGAGAAAGGAUCGGAAAGCCAUGGGUCUUGGAAGGUGGAGCGGAAGGACCAAGUGUUAAGAAAGGAGGGGAAAUUAUCAGAGGAAGCCAUAGGAAGGAUGGGAAUUGGAAGGUUGAAGAAGGAAGAAUGGAGUGAUGAGGAAGAAAGGGGGAAAUGGAAGAAGGAGAAUAAAUAGGGCGGUAGUGAAGGGAGAAAACGCGUUGUUUCAAAAGAGAACACGCGUCAGCAUUUCUUUUCUUUUUCUUUUUUUCUUUUUUUUUGUUCCGUACUAUACACACAUCACCAUUAAAAUUGGACCUUUUUAACCCUGCUUUUAAACAUAUCUCCUCUUACUUUUAUUAGUCACAUGUUUAGACAUUGUAAAAAAUAAUCAAAAUAUUUACAAAAAAAUAAAGAACAUUUUUAGAUUUAUAAACAAUACAUAUUCAUAAAUACCCCUAUAUUUUAAUAACGUUGAUAAAAAUAAUAAUAUAUCAAAUCUAAAUUUUUUUAGAUUUUAUAAAUAGUUUGAAUUUUUAUUAAUAUUUUUCUGAAAUAGUUAAAAUUAUUUUUAUUAAAGAUAUAUUUUUAAUCAUUUGAAUUCUAUUAAUAUUUAAUUUUAAAAUUUUAAAAGUACUUUUUAUAUCAUUAAAAAUGGUUUUUUAUGGUUAGAAACAUAUUUAGAGUGGUUUUUAAAAUUAUUUUUCACCAUUUGAAUCACUAACAAAAUAUUAUUACAAUGUUUGUAUCUUCACUAACUAAAAAGAGUUUAAUUCAUGAGAUAAUUUAAGAAAAAAAAUAAUUUUUUACUUUUAGUUUUUCAAAACUUUACUUAAUUUUUUUAAAUAUUAAUAAACAUUAAAUAAUAAACCAAAAAAGGGUGAAAUAUGUAUUUGAAGGUAUAUUUUUCAAAAACUGAAAACACAAUCAUUACUAAAUCAAACCUCAUACUUUAGUAAUAGUUUUAAAAAUAUUAAACUUAUAACACAUUUUAUUGUUUUUAAAGUUUGAUCAAGUCUUUUUUUUAAAGAUAUUAAAUUUAUGAUUAAAAUUUUAAAAUGAUACAAAAAUAAUUUUCAAAGUUAAAAUUCUGGAUGUUCUAGUUCUAUUUAGAUUCUAACAUUUUAGAUUUUUUUUUUUUUUGUAUGUUUGAUAUUUUUUAACCAUAUAAUGAUUGAUUAAUCAAAUCCAUGAAUAUAAAAUAAAAUUAGACAUGUGAAUAGAAAUUUAGUAUCAUGCUAGUAAGUAACAUUAAAAUUUUGAAAUUAAAUAUAAGGGAUGAGAAUUUCAUAACAAUAUUAGAUUACUAAUAUUUAGAUUAUUCAAAUAGCAAUUUAGGAUAUGUGUUUCAUAACAGUUUUUUAAAAGAAAAAAUUAAAUAAAUUUUUGGUUCAAAGAGUUAAAAUAUUUUCUUAUUUUGUAAAAAUUUCAAAAAUAAAAAACCGUAACAAAUGAAUUUAAAAUGUUUAUUAUUUAAUUAUACUUGCAUUAGUGAGAUUUUAUUAGAAAAUAAUAGAUUUAAGAUUAUUCUUUUAAUGAUAUAAUGAUUGAUUAAUGGAAUUCAUGAUUAUAUAGAAGUUUAUAAAUGUGAAUAGAAGUUUAAUAUGAUGCUGCUAAGUAAUGAAAGUAAUUAUAGAAGAAGGGGAAAUUGAGAAUGAGAGUUAGAUUUUAACCAUGGUUGGAUUUUUGUUUGACUCAAUGAGUCAAUUCUAUCUCAAAUUUCCCACGGGGACUUCACCACGCGUACGCCUCCCAUUAAUCAACAUCUCUCUCCCUCAUUUCAUUUCAUUUUCUUAUAAUUUUGUUUCUAAUGUUAAUAAUUAAUAUUCUACUUUUUAAUUUGUAGAAAUAACUAUUGUUGAAUUAUGAUCCUAAAAUAAAAUUAUAUGAAAAUUAGUAGUUAUCUUCAGAAAUAUUCUCUUUUUGUUUUUUACUAUGAUGGUUAGAUCUAGAAAAUUUCUUGAGAUGAUAAAUGACAAAUUGCAUCUAUGGAUUCACAGGGAGGGAUUUAUUAUUGUGCAAUUUGAAAACGUGUCACAUCGUUGUUCAAGGAUGCACCAUGCCACCAAUUACUUUGGUGUAUUGCAAUGUCGCAUUAUGAAGUUUUCCAACCUUAGAUUUUAGUUGGAUCAAUAAAAUAAUAGAAAAUUAGAGGAAUGGGGAAAAUGUUUUAAAUUUUAAUUAUAUUCAUAAAUUGUUAGAUCUUAGAUUAGUUUUGAAUUUGACAUGUUUUAAUUAUUUUAAUAUGGUUAUAUUAAAAAAAGAAAUUUCCUUAUCAAUCAAAUAUAAAGGAGUUCAAAAUUUAGAUUGUGUUUCUAAUGUUUUGUUAUUUUAAAUAGUGUAUUCCAGGCUUUCCAGUGGAGGCCAAAUUUGAUGAAUAAUAUGAAAAUUAUCAUGUUUAAACCAUCCAUUAGAUAGAUUCCAAAACUUGAUCUCAAUUAAAAAGUAAUAAUAAGGCAUGAAAACUUAUAAAAGACCAUGAUGCAAGUUAGUAAAUUUAUUUGAAUUGAUGUUUACUAUCAUUUCAUUUUUUAUUUGUUUACCGACCAGACAUCUACUUGAUUUACAUGAGUCUUAGUCUAUUUGUACAAACAAAUUUAUAGUGUUGUUUGAUUUAGAUUUUGACACAUUAACAACUUAUAUCUUUACGAGGUACUUUGCCUUGAUUAUCAUCAUGUACGAAGAAUUUUGAUAACAAGAACAAAACAAUAUUAAAAAGUUAGAAAUAUGUUACUCAUUUGAUGUUUUGACAUCGUCUUAAGUUUUUGUUUAACAUGGAAAGAUAUAUAUCUUCUCAAAAAGUAGUCUCUCAUUAUCGUAAUUGAUGGAAAAAACUAGGUUGUAAUUGUUUUUCUUUUUAUCUUUUUCGUUGGUUUGAUUAGAAAAUAUAUUUGUUACACGUUUCUUCGAAUUGGUAACCCCAUAUAUCCAACACAAUUUAAGUCAUUUUUUGUAAUUUAAAUAUAAAUUUAUUGUUAUUGUACUUAAAUUGAAUAAAUUAUUUAAUUCUUAGUUAAAGUUAAAAGUAUUAUAAAUAUUUAUUCGUUGUAUUGAUUUGUAUACUACAUAACAAAUAAAUAUGAAUUUUGCCUAAUACAAUUUACAUACACGAGAGAAAACUACUACCAUGUAUGAAGACAAUAUACUCUCUUUAAAUAGAGUGGUACAAGACCUAAUUUUGACUGUAACACUAAAAUAAAAAUGCUUAGAAUACACCAAUCAAUCAAUAUAAUGGUAAACAUUCGAAUUAAGACAAUUAGUUAAUUGAGUAUUUCAACAUGUAUCACUCAAUUGGUCAAAUCUAUGAUAAUUUGCUAGUUGUAUUAUGAAUGAUAUUGUGGAAAAUGCAUGCACAAUACUUAAGUUGAUAAUUGACCAAACCUCUCGUAUAUUACAUUUCUCAUUUUUUUAUGUUUUGUAAAAAAUAGUAAUAUAUUCACUCGUUAGACAAGUUUUAAAAUGUUGACAUCGAUGUAAAUACUGAGAUCUUAAUCUCUUACAAUGGCGUUAAAAAUAUCUAAAUAAAAGUAAUAAAUAAAUCAUUUUUGAUCUCAAACAAAGUUCACGUAUUUAUUAUUUAUAGUAUAUAUUUACAUUGGCAACAUUUUAUUGCUGUGCUCUAUAGUAAAAUUAUGAAUGUACUCUUGAUAUAUAAAGACAUUAAUCCAUACAAAUAUAAAAAUACUGAGGCAUGAACAGUAUGGUUACGUGGGAAAAAAGAAAUUAGAGUGAGGAGUUAAAAGUUCGAUCGUAAAAAGAGGAGUGAUGUGAUGAGACUGAGGAUUGAUGGAAUUCAUGGAUGCUAUCUUCCUAAAAAUACCCUAAAUCUAUUAUCUAUCAACGAACCUUCCUUCCUGUUUCCUCAAAAGAAGAAAAGAAAAAGAGAGAAAAAAUCAGAUUCUCUUCCCUUUUGCUCUUAUCUUCAAACUUUCAAUUUAUUUAUUUAUUUUUUCUUCCAUUGCUUCUGUGUAUAAUAUACUCUUCUCUUAGUUUUGUAGUGUAAUGGAGUUGGGAUGAUCUUGGAUGAUAACUUGAUCAGGAUAUAUACCUUAUAUAUUGUCUCAAAGAAAUAAAGACAUUGAUCAUAUUCUUCUUAGCAAAACUGAAAAUAGGUUAAUAGUAAUAUAGAUGCAUUGUCUGACUGGGAAGCACUAAAAUAUUUGAUAAGCAUUUGAAGUAUUGAUAAAACUGAGUGAAAAGGCUUUUGCCAACAUUCUAGAAUUAUUUAUUUUAAUUUAUUUAGUAAAGAGCCCAGCCAUGACGUGGCUGCAUACGGUAGGGUGAUGAAAAUGUGACGUAAUUCAGUAAUAAUAAUAAUAAUGAUAAUUAAAAGAUAAAAAUAGAAAAAUAAUGUUAAUGUUGUACAGAUAAGAUUUGAUGUGAUGUGUGAUGCUGAUUCAUUUAAUUUAAUUUCUCUCUAUUUCAUUUCAUCUCUCCUAGAUAUUUAUUUCAUUUCUUUCUUUUCUUUAGAGAAUCAGUUAAAUAAAACUAAGAAUUUAAAUGUUUUCUUUCAAGGAAAAUAAUAAGACACCAUAUAUAAUGAAUUUGAAGAGAAAUCGACGUCAAAUUAAAAUUAAAUGAGGCCUUAAUUUUAUUUUCCCUACAAUUUGAUGAAGAAGAAUUUAUGAAAACUGUACCAAGCAGAUUGGGAGAAAGUAAUUGUCACAAAAUUCAGAACAAAAAACAUUUAUCUUUUUUUCUUUUUGGUAUAUGGUUUUAAAAAACAUGAGAUGAAGCAAGAAAAUGACAAGUGAAAGUAUUGUAAAGAGGUAAUUCAAUCCUAUCAUUUUCCAUUUCUUAAAACGAUUUGUAUUUUUCUCAUUAAUUACAUUUUUAGUCAAACUCUACAAAAGGAAUCAUCUAGUUUUCAAAAUUUUAUUAUAACAAAUAAAAAUUUACCAAAUGGAAUUGAAAUGUUUUGAUUUUUUGGUUUAAAUGGUUUAUAAAUAACAUCAAUCAUGGGUGCAUUUUUUUUGCAUCUAUAAUAUAUAAUUAAAAAACAAUCUCAUAACCAUUUUAUUUUUAAAAGAUAGAACUUACAAAUAUCACAAUUUGGAUUAAGCAAACAAAAAAAGAAGUAAUAAUUUGAAAAUCAAUAAAGAAAACCCAGCUCAUGGAAUGGGGCCUUAAUUACAAAAGUUCAUCUCUUUUCAUUUGUUUAUUAUUUAGUUGACAAAAGAUAAUAAAAAUUAUUCCAAGUAAUUAAUAAUAAGAAAAGCACGUGAGUAACCACAUCAAUAUAGUUAGAAACAUUUUGAAUCUUAAACCAAAAAUUAAAAGAAACAUUAUUUACUUUAAUAUAUGAAGAAAAAAAAGAAAAAAACUUUCCAUUUUCAUACUUGGGAUGGGUCCAAUGAUGAACCCAAAAAGUAAAAUAAAAAGAGAGAGAAUUUUAUUUUAAUGAGAAAAAUUUAGCAGUAAAAAAGGUGGAAAAGGGGGGAAAUAAAAUCAAUAGAAAAAGGUAAUAAUUAUAUUGAAGGAUAAAUUUGACUUUAAGCAUGAGCAGCCGCACGUGCGAUGGACCCUACUUAUUUUUCUUUUUGUUUUCCUUUGGGGUUUUCGAAAAAAUAGGGUUAUAAAAAGAGGUUUGUGUGAAAUGACAAUAUUAAUUAAUGAGGGAUUUGCGGCCUUACACUCACAUUUUUUGUCUCCAAAUUUCACUUCUCCUCGCUUCUAAUCAUAAUUAUCAACGUUUUAUCAUCUCAAUUAAUACUUCCAAACCAAUGUUCAAGUAUUAACUAUAACUUUGUGAAUACAUAAGAAAGUUCAAAUAUAUAUAUAUAUAUAGACCCAAGUAAUUAACAAGCUUAGUUUAGUUUAAUUUUUUUUCCCAAAACAAUAUUGUUCAAAUAAUUACUAAAAAUCAUGUGUUUUUUUUUCCUUCAAAAUAAUAUAUUGAAAAUGCGUUAAAAUUGCAAAGAUUGUGAACAACACUAAUUUCUCCACUCCUUGUAAUUUCUAAAUAAAGUAAAGAAUAUAAUUAUCAUUUGAAAACACAAUGUACCAUAUUUGCAUGGUUAUAAUAAAUAAUCAAAACGAUCUUACGUUUACUUCUCAUGAUUACGAUAGGCCUUCAUGAGCUUCAACUUAAAACCCACAUUUUUAGUUUGGUCACAAAAAUAAAUAUACUUACUUUCCCGGCCCUACCCCUCCGUCUACCCCUUUGAGAUAAUCAAAAUGUGGCUAUAUUUAUACCAUACCCAUCUUUUACUGCAUCUUUUGAUUGAUAUAUAUGUAAGCUGAUGAGUGGUUGGAGGAGUUGAUAUAAUUUUGAUGAUGGUUUCCAAAAUUAAAUGUUUUCAUACUGUGAAAAAAUGGGAUCCGAAUCCCAUGGGUUUGAGUUCAAUGGUUGACCUAAAGCAAAACAAAACAAAAGAAAAGACACAUAAAAGGAAAAAAGAAAGAAAGAAAGAAAGAAACAGAAAGAUAUGUAGAAUAAAUGAAAAGAAGUAGUUGGGAAGGAAGAAAGGGGCCGCGUGUCUCACAAUGGGGUUCUUCUCUAAUUUGAACACCUUCCUUCUUUGUCAAACCGUUUUUAAGAUCUCUUUUGUUUUCUUUUCUUGUUCUAUCAAUUCAUAGAUUAUGAUAACAAUUAUAAUAAUAAUGUGUCACACAAUAACUUGGCAACUUAGACCUAACUAUUAUUUUCCACUCAUAUCUCAUAUGCCUAUGUGUCACCUAACUAUUUUAUCUAAUAAAUGAAUUCUCUUUUUUAUCCUAACUAGUUGCUAACCACUCCUUCAUUUCAAACUAAAAACUUAAAUCACAUGUUUAUCUCAACUACAACAAUAUACCUCUGUUGUUGAAACUAAAAGCAGAAGAAUACUGAAGUUUGAUUCAAACUACAUGAUUAUCACUUUCACUUUCAUUGUGAAAUAAAAUUAUAGAGCGGUUUGUUAUAUAUCCUGAAGGAGAUUGAAUGUAUAUCUCUUUACAUUAUUUGUUGAAGAAAUGAGAGACUAAAAGGAUGUAACAAUUUUUUCAGAUAUAGUUUUCACUUUCAAAGUUGCGUAUACUUAAUUAUACUAUAUGAUAUGGAGUUGUUACUAGGAUGACAAUAAUUUAGAUCGUGUUAAUAAUGUAGAUGUUUAACUAAUACGGGUAUUGCAUUAAUCGUUCGAGAUUGACUAAAGUUCCAAAGCAGAGGUACGUGGUUGAUUUUGGCAUAGUGAUAAGGUAAAUGCAGAGUCCCUUAAGAAAAAAACUACAUGGGAAAGGGAAAGUGAUUGGUUAGGGUAUAAUAAAGUGUGAAAUUAAUUUGAUGUGACAAUAAAAAAAAGAUUUGUGUGAGGAAUUACUUCAAACAUAUAUAGUCUUUUGUUCGUAUAAUUAUUGACUUCGAGAUUAGAUGUUCCACAGUUGCAUUGUCAAAAGUCGACAUCAAUUGAAAUGAAUUUUUCCCUUAAAUUUGAACAACAUAAAUUCACACAUUUGUGUAGAACAAUGUUUGGGCCUUGAAGCCCAAUGAUUGUCCCUUUUAAAGUAGUUCACGAUCCAAACAUAGUGAAGUAAUUAACGAGCUUGGAACUCCGAUAUGGACCUUGAUAGAGACUAAAACCAACUUUUAGGUUUGGACCAAGCAAGAGCCCACUUAGGCCCAAAGAAUGGUAAUUUGAAACAACAUUAUUAGCUAGCUACUAACAAUGUCAAUCUGCAUUUAUCGUCACAUAAACUUAUCAUAUAUAUAUGUCCAUGAGUUUCCAUCCCUAACUCAUCCUAUCGUUAUAAAAAAUAUUUGUCAUAAUUAAAAAAAAAAAAUUGAAACCAUUAUCUUAAAAAAGAACUUUCAAAUUCAAUAUUAAUUUGAUGGCAAUCUCCAUCUUGUUUAAUGUCCCUUUUAAAUGAUAAAAUAUGGCUUGCUUAUCAAGAUAUAUGAACAUGUUUGAUUCAUUAAUUUUGCUUUCAAUAUCAAUUUAUGAUUUGAGUAGUAUUGUUUAUUACUAUUAUUUAAUGUUGUCACGUAGUUAUGUAUUUGAUGGAAGUGUACGUAAUUAAUUAUAUGCACCAUGAUAAAAAUUUAACGUUGAAAGUAUUCACAACUUAACUCAUGUGUUUGCUCUUAAGUUUAAUUAACAAAUUUUAAUUUGCUACAUAUUUUUUUUUCUUUUUUGUUAAUUUUGACUUCUUCCCUUCUUAAAAUGCUACAUCUUUUUAAGCUUUAAUUUAAUUUGUUAGAAACUACAAAAAAAAGAAUUAUGUAGGAUGGGAACAUUUUCGAUCACAUGUAACUACAAAACUAUAUAAUAGUAAAGCAAAAAGGUAUUAUAGAAUACCUAACAAUAAUAUUAAAUUGGUUAACCCUUUUUCUUUUUCAUCUUCUUCUUCUUCUUCACCUACUAGGUUUCGAACCCAUAAGCUAAGGGAUUGGAUCAAAUUUCAACCCAAACUCUUAAACCAUUAGGCUACGAAACUGUUGGGUGAUCUCAUUACACAAAUUUAUCACUAUAUAUAUAUAUAUGCUUAAUUAAUUAGAUCAAGAUCAUGACAAACUUUGAAGUAGAAGAAUUUAAAAGGUAUUUUGAAAUACCUAAAUAUUUCUUAGCCGAUCUCAUCUCAAUUUCUCAUCCUUCUCUCUCUACCUACUAGGACUCGAACUUGCAACCAUAGGGUCAGCCAUUGUUUCUCAAGGCCAUCCUCUACGCCACACCGCUACAAGACCGUUCGGUG
RNAcentral lists this long non-coding RNA (30517 nucleotides) under Cucumis sativus (cucumber). RNAcentral's name for it is "long non-coding RNA (CSAT_LNC001264)". Lineage: Eukaryota; Viridiplantae; Streptophyta; Magnoliopsida; Cucurbitales; Cucurbitaceae. The record is from RNAcentral.